UACGAAGGGGGCUAGCGUUGCUCGGAAUCACUGGGCGUAAAGGGUGCGUAGGCGGGUCUUUAAGUCAGGGGUGAAAUCCUGGAGCUCAACUCCAGAACUGCCUUUGAUACUGAGGAUCUUGAGUUCGGGAGAGGUGAGUGGAACUGCAAGUGUAGAGGUGAAAUUCGUAGAUAUUCGCAAGAACACCAGUGGCGAAGGCGGCUCACUGGCUCGACACUGACGCUGAGGUGCGAAAGCGUGGGGAGCAAACAGG
RNAcentral lists this ribosomal RNA (253 nucleotides) under uncultured bacterium. RNAcentral describes it as "partial 16S ribosomal RNA". It matches the Rfam family "Bacterial small subunit ribosomal RNA", at positions 524 to 776 of the family's 1533-position model. The record is from RNAcentral.